Molecule: ribosomal RNA, 493 nt
Filed under: uncultured bacterium
Lineage: Bacteria
Description: bacterial SSU rRNA
Rfam family: Bacterial small subunit ribosomal RNA
Source: RNAcentral
GACGAACGCUGGCGGCGUGCUUAAAACAUGCAAGUCGAACGGACUUCUCAUGAAGCUUGCGAUUGAGAAGUUAGUGGCGGACGGGUGAGUAACGCGUGGGCAACCUGCCCCUGAGCCCGGGAUAACAGUUCGAAAGGACUGCUAAGACCGGAUAUACUUGCGGGGAAGCAUUUCACUGCAAGGAAAGGGAACGCUCAGGGAUGGGCCCGCGUCCCAUUAGCUAGUUGGUGAGGUAACGGCCCACCAAGGCGACGAUGGGUAGCCGGCCUGAGAGGGUGAACGGCCACACUGGGACUGAGACACGGCCCAGACUCCUACGGGAGGCAGCAGUUGGGAAUCUUCGGCAAUGGGCGCAAAGCCUGACCGAGCAACGCCGCGUGAGUGAUGAAGGUUUUCGGAUUGUAAAGCUCUGUCUUCCGGGACGAUAAUGACGGUACCGGAGGAGGAAGCCACGGGCUAACUACGUGCCAGCAGCCGCGGUAAAGUCACGUCG